GAUGAAGAACGCAGCGAAAUGCGAUAAGUAAUGUGAAUUGCAGAAUUCAGUGAAUCAUCGAAUCUUUGAACGCGCAUUGCGACCCCUGGUAUUCCGGGGGGCAUGCCUGUUCGAGCGUCAUUUCACCACUCAAGCCUCGCUUGGUAUUGGGCAACGCGGUCCGCCGCGUGCCUCAAAUCGACCGGCUGGGUCUUCUGUCCCCUAAGCGUUGUGGAAACUAUUCGCUAAAGGGUGUUCGGGAGGCUACGCCGUAAAACAACCCCAUUUCUAAGGUUGACCUCGGAUCAGGUAGGGAUACCCGCUGAACUUAAGCAUAUCAAUAAGCGGAGGA
Molecule: unclassified non-coding RNA, 331 nt
Filed under: soil metagenome
Description: partial contains 5.8S ribosomal RNA, internal transcribed spacer 2, and large subunit ribosomal RNA
Rfam family: 5.8S ribosomal RNA (bases 1-120)
Source: RNAcentral